ACAGCUGAUAGGAAGCAUCCUCAUUUUGGCACAACUUUCUUUCAUGGGUUUGCUGGUUAUUGGUGUUUGAAGUUUCUUUCUCUCUCUAUUUCUUUUUUCAAAUGAUCACUUUCUUUGGGUAUGGUUGUUGGGUUAUGCUUUCAAGCUUAAUCUGAUGCAUAAAAAUGACAGGAGAGCAUUACAAGAUCUCAUGGGCUUGGAAUCACCAAUUUCAAUGUUGGAGGCACCAAUUACUCUUCAAAUUUUUAUAAUUGGUCGGAGCGACACUUCAUAUUUCUCUUCUAUAAUUACCGUUCUUGAGCUUUCAUAACAAAAGCUUGGCCGACAUACUUCUAAACGGGAACAAAGCAAAAAAGAAACAAGGAGAGCAACGGGUAAGGGAAGAGAAUGGGUGGAAUUCUACUUAUUUUAAUUUUUUUGUUCACUUAAUUAAUUAUUAUUGCUUUAUUUCUUAGUUAUAUUUUUUUUAAUGAAAUACUCACAACCAAUGGAAUAAGGAGAGAAAAUCUUUGAANNNAAGUUAUUUUAUUUAAUAAAUAUAACACUACCUUCUUGACUAGUAUAUGUUGUGCAAAUUAGUAAAAAUGAAGCUGACGGAAAGUUCUAGGUUAAAUUGGUUCUAAAAUGAAGCAGACGGAAAGUUCUAGGCUAAAUUGGUUCUAAAAGUUAAAAAGGGUCCGAUUGAACUUUAGAAAAGAUAAAAUUAUCAUCAAUGAAUAAGAGAUGUGAUAUCUCAUAAUAGGUAAAAUACUGUCACUAUUUUUACUAAGAAGUUGAAAGAAACCUCAGAAACGAAAGAGAAGAGGACGAGUUAUUCACAUUUCAUUUGAUGGUCGGAGGUGAAUUGAAAGCUAAGCAGAAGUAAUUCUAAAGAUUCCCUAGAGAAAAAAUAGAAAUGUCUCCUACAUUACUCCUAAUAUGUGGAAGUAUCAAACGUAAUUUCAGAGAGUCAUUCGGUCUGAAUGAUACAUGAAGAACAUAAGCCAGAUGAAGGAACAAGAAGACAUAGGAUGUAGAAGAGCAUAACAUGAGC
Molecule: long non-coding RNA, 1033 nt
Filed under: Ricinus communis (castor bean)
Lineage: Eukaryota; Viridiplantae; Streptophyta; Magnoliopsida; Malpighiales; Euphorbiaceae
Description: long non-coding RNA (RCOM_LNC003019)
Source: RNAcentral